UGGCGGGGGGAGGGGGCCGCCGCAGCCCGCCCCGGCCCGCCGCCCUCGGUCGCCUCGCCGCCCUCCCCUCGUAUCGCCCCCAGCUCUGCCCUCCCGUGAAGCCCCGGCCCUGGGAGUCCCGUCGUUUCUCCCCGCGGCGGCAGGGGCGCUGGCGGGGGGAGCCCGGCGUUUCCAGCCUUGCUGGAGCUCGGCUGCGCCGGUCCCGGGAGGCGUAAAACGUUGUGGCCGUUCUGAGCCAAAGCGGCUUGCUGAGGGAGGAGAGGCCCUGCUUGCCCCAUGCGCCCGGCGAGAGGGCAGCCACCUGCCGCCCUGGGGACCGGGAGCAGUGGCCCAGGAGGUUGUGAUUCUGGAAAACAGAAGGCAGUGCUGGACAACUAUAGCUCUACGUUUAAGUAUUGUGACAGUGAAUUACUGUGCAAGAGAGAACAUUCCGAGUGAGUCUCAAAAUAGAAGGCAGUUAAGUAAUGCAAGUGAUAAUGAGGAGAAACCAUGUGCUGAUCCAGCUGUCCACACAUCAUUAAGGAGUCCUUUCUGGAUCACAGGAUGA
Apteryx owenii (little spotted kiwi) is the source of this 547-nucleotide long non-coding RNA. Lineage: Eukaryota; Metazoa; Chordata; Aves; Apterygiformes; Apterygidae. The record is from Ensembl.